Molecule: RNA transcript, 1340 nt
Organism: Ornithorhynchus anatinus (platypus)
Lineage: Eukaryota; Metazoa; Chordata; Mammalia; Monotremata; Ornithorhynchidae
Exons: 3
Source: RefSeq, a predicted model, not a curated record
AGACAGAUGUAAAAAUAAAUUACAAAUAUGGGUGUAAAAGCCUUGGGGCUGAAGGUGGGAUGAAUAUUAAUUGCUUAGAGGGCACAGUUUUUGAGUACCUAGGCAACGCAGAAGGGAGAGGGAGUAGAGGGAAUGAGGGCUCUAAGAGGAGAUGGGAUUUUAAUAAGGCUUCGAGUGGGGGAAGGAGUGGUGGUCUGCUGAUUAAGAAGGCAUAAUCCAGGCCAACAGGCACAGUUGGAGAAAGAGGGUGGGAGGAGGAGAGGCAGGUCCCUCCCCUGCUCUCCCCCAACCCAGCCAACUCCUCCUAGCACUGCAGGGAGAGAGAGCAGGGGGAGCAGGAGCGUGCCUCUCCUUGGCCUCACUCCUGCUCUGGCUAAAUCAGGGGUGGGGUUGAGAGAGCGCAGUUCCACUCAGACCGGAGAGCCCUCCCCAGGACCUCAGGCAAGAAGCAAGCACAAACCAAGCAGAAGCGGGAGGAAGAAGAAAAAAACCCAAAUGGAACCAAAGAAACCCGGCGGAGGGCCGACCGAGGGGCUGAGCCUCUUGGAAGGACAGACGGUAGGAAUUCCCUUGCCCCAGCUGUGACUCGGCACCACCCCUCUCCACCCCAGCCCCACGAGUCCGCCAUCAACACCGGCUGGAGACCCUCGUUUGCACGGCUGUGGGGAUGACUGGAUGAAUGACGGCAAAGUGGGGGAGAAGAGCAGGGCUCUGACCAAACCUCGUGGGUCAGGUCUGCUUUCAAAGACCCCCGGGGUAUCCCCUGGGUCUCUCUGGGCGCACGAGGGACCCUCCUAUUGGAUCUCCUUUUUGUCUCCCCACCAGCUGCAUUUCCCCGGGAGGGCAAGAGCUGGGGGUAGUCUGCCACACCGGGACCGACGUGUAACACACACAUACGCUUGCACUGGGGCAGGGGUGCUCUGUUCUCUAUCAAGAAAUUAGUCACAGGGAUGGCAGCUCCACGCUUAGGGGAAACAUGUCCACCAGGGCCCCUCUUCCUCAUUCUCUGUCCUCUGACCCCUUUCUUGCUCAAGAAAUCAGACAUGAGCCUCCUUGGCCCAGUCCUCUCUUAUCCUCUCUACCCAGACCCCGGGACCCAGGCCCAGAGAGGGCCUCCUCACUCCCCUAGCAGGCUGGCAGCCCCUUCCUCUGGAUCCUCCAGCUCGGUCCCGGGGAAGCUGCAACAUCGGUCCAGACUGGACCCGACCUACUCUCAGCUAUCCUGUUUUUGCUGCCCCCGAGGCCAACGGCAGCCAGGCGCCCCCUCCCCGAGGCCAAGCCCGGGCCCACCGAGAAGGGACGAGAGGAGCCGAGGGACGAGAGGACUCUGGGAAAUUACC